Molecule: RNA transcript, 9918 nt
Organism: Ailuropoda melanoleuca (giant panda)
Lineage: Eukaryota; Metazoa; Chordata; Mammalia; Carnivora; Ursidae
Gene: ZNF75D
Gene name: zinc finger protein 75D
Exons: 7
Source: RefSeq, a predicted model, not a curated record
GAAAGGACUGCCGGCCGCCGGAACGCUACCGGAUCGAUCCGCACUUGGCGUCAGGGCCACAGGAUCGCGGCACCUGCAGUCGGUGGGGUACAUGCCUCCCGGGCGACUAGAGUCUUCCGGGGCUCCCCCUGGGCCUCCAGCGGGCCUGGGGAAGGGCGUGUUCGCGUCCCGGCUGGAGCCGGAGCACAAGGCCGCGCCCCCGGGGCGGAAAGGAGCCGCGGCACGGUUCCCGCCCAGCUGCGCGGAGGCGCCACAGGUAGAGAGACGGCGUUGGCUGGGCGUGGCUGUCACGAAGCCGCCGGAAGCGCAUUCUUUCUUUUCCGGUUGGGCCAGGUCCACAGACCGCGACCCCAAAAUGGCGAGUCGGGGUACAGUCUCGGGGAGCUAGAGGGAUCAGGUGGGGGACCGGUCCUGCGAGGCUCCCGAGCUCGGAGCUGCCCUCGCCAGGCCCGCAGGGGCGCGGGAACCGGCUGCUUCCUCCCCGGGGCGGCGGGGAGGCGUGGCGACGUUGCCGCCGAGUCGAGGAAGAGGGAAGCGGCGCCCGCGGAAGCCGGGGCUGGGCGGAGUGCCCUUGGGGAGAAGAUCCACUCAGUGGUUUUAUACCAAACCUGACAAGGCCUCAGUUGUCAGAGGAGGCACCAGGAGGAUGUCACACAUAGGAGUAAAACUGUUCCUAGAGCAAAUGAUGAUGAGACACCUGGAGGGGAAUGCAUGCUUGUACCCACACAUGGAGGCUUUGUGGGGGACUAAGGGGUCUGUGAAAGAGAACUCCAGUGAGAGUAAGAAAUCCAGCCCACAAAUGGACAGUCUUGGUCCUGAGAGCGCUCGCCAGCACUUCCGGAGCUUCUAUUAUCAUGAAGCACCUGGACCACUUGCGGCUGUCAGCCAACUUCAGGAAUUAUGCCACCAGUGGCUGAGGCCAGAGAGCCACUCGAAAGAGCAGAUCUUGGAACUGCUGGUGCUAGAGCAGUUCCUGACUAUUCUGCCCAGGGACACCCAGACCUGGGUGCGGAAGUAUCAUCCACAGAGCAUCAGAGAGGCUGUGGCCCUGGUAGAGCGCUUUCAGAGAGAACGUGGUGGAAUAAGUGAUGAGGUCACAGCCCAUGACCUGGGAAAGGAGGCAGUGCCCUUGGGAGGAACAGCAGUGGCCCCAGGCUUUAAGUGGAAGCCAGCAGAGCCCCAACCAAUGGGUAUGUUCCAGAAAGAAUGUUGGAAUACAUACCGGGUACUACAGGAACAGCUGGGCUGGAAUACUCACAGAGAAACCCAGCCUGUAUAUGAAAGAGCUGUGCCUGCUCAACAGAUUCUAGCCUUUUCUGAGCAGAAAAGCACCCCAAACUGGAAGAUGGCAUCUGAGCUCAUCUUGCCUGAGUUCCAGAGCCUCUUGACGUUUGAAGAUGUGGCUGUGUCUUUUUCGGAGGAAGAAUGGGAAUUACUGGACCCUCCUCAGAAGACCCUUUAUAAUGAUGUGAUGCAGGAGAACUAUGAGACUGUCAUCUCUCUAGCAGGAAGAGAGCGUUCGGUGUGUGCCCUGGGAGAAGUGCCCCCAUUCCAGUGGCCGUUCCCGUGAGCGCCCACUACCACAGUGUUUUCUGUCAAGGAGUUCCAAGCAGCAAGCGAAGGCCUGAAUGCCACCACAGACCUAGGGACCUUGCAAGUGCUUGAUGUCUCUCCUGCUGAUCCUCUCAACACUGAGACUGGAGGCUUUCAGAUUGGUACCACACUGCUCCAGGGCCUAAAGGGAAGCCCAUUUUUAUGGCUGCUCAGCCACAACCCCAUACACUUUGGAUGCUCUUCAGCAAAGUCUGGAAGUUUUGUAAACGGAUGUACUGAGAAUGGCAAGGUGAGCCCCGUGGCCUCGGCACACAUUGGAUAGCAGGAGGGAACAUCCGGAAGUGUCAGAGCAAAGUCAGGCCCGCGGCCUAGAGGGCUGCCCCCAUGAGAACUAGGUCAGAUGGAAACUGUUUUGUGAUACUGGUAGUUUCUCUUCCUUCCCCAUUGGCCUCAGGGAUUAUCUCCUGAGAAGACAGUGACAUGUCAAGGGCAGGGCAGGGAAGUUGGAGGACAUGGAUUUAUAGCUAUGUCAGAUUCUAGUUUAAGAUGUUGGCCAAGGCUUAGAUAUAUUUAUUAUUUCAUAAAAUUUUACUUUCUUAAUGAAAUGGAAUGUUUCAUGUUAGACAUGAAACAAAACUCCAUGGUUACUAAAUCACCCAGAGAUGGCAGUCACUUUUUUGGCAUAGAUAUCUCCAGAUGUUUUUUCUUUUUUUUUUUUUUAAUUUUUUUUAUUUAUUUGACAGAGAUAGAGACAGCCAGCGAGAGAGGGAACACAGGGGGAGCGGGAGAGGAAGAAGCAGGCUCACAGCGGAGGAGCCUGAUGUGGGGCUCAAUCCCAGAACGCCGGGAUCACGCCCUGAGCCGAAGGCAGACGCUUAACCGCUGUGCCACCCAGGAGCCCCUCCAGAUGUUUUUUCCAUCAAGAGACCCCUCUAUGCCUGUUUUCAGGCUUGUGAAAUGGGAAUGAUAAUUCUAUCCUUUCAGGGCUGCUGUGAGGAUCAAAGGAGAUGUGAGCGUGCCUCACACUGAGGGGCCACAGUCGGUGUUCCAUAAACAUUUGGAAUAUUCUUCCUUCAUCUUUCAGCUAGUUUUUUUUUAAAGAUUUUAUUUAUUUGUCAGAGUGUUUACAAGUGCGAGCACAUGUGCACAAGCAGGGGGAGCAGCAGGCAGGGGGAGAAGCAGGCUCCCCACUGAGCAGGGAGCCCGAUGUGGGAUUUGACCCCAGGACUCUGGGAUCAUGACCUGAGCUGAAGGCAGAUGCUUAACCAACUGAGCCACCCAGGCGUCCCUCAGCUAGUUAUUUUCAAAAGAAGAUCAAUUAGGCAGAAAAGUUAAGCAUCCUUAAUUAACGGUGUUUCCAUCAUUCCCAGCUGUUUUUUUUUAAGCCUUUUCGUGGUGGUCAGAAGGGUAGCCUGGUAUGCCAUUCUUUUCUAGAGAUACCUCUCUCUAGUCCCUGUGAACCAAUAAGCUAAUGUCCCCAUUGAGCUGGAUAUACUGCUAGCGAGUAACAGAACCAGAAAUAGACUAGAAGCCCCCAACUUGACAUAUCUGCAAUGUGGCCAAGAAGUGAUGGCGAGGGGUGGACUUGUUGUGGACACUAUUUGCACAAUUAGGUGUAUCCAUCCUCAAACUAAUGGGAAAGGAAAGAGGUGACUAGAAUGGCCACUAAAAAGAAUGCAAGCACUAAGCCCAGAGGAGGAAGUGACCCAGAAGGAAAGGAUCCCAUUGUAUUCCUGAAGGCUUGGAGACCGACGGCCCCACCAUCCCUUCUAGAACUAUCUGAGACUGUGCUCUUGGAACUAAGGGGCAAUUCGACUCCUUUCCGAGGGCACUCUCUUUGUGUGACUGUCCGGUACCACCCUGGACGACUGCUGUCAUACCAUCAUUCAAAGGACCUUCGUUCAAGUAGCCUUUAGAAAGAGGAGAUUGACUCAGAAAUUGAAGGAAGUAUUGUAUCAGUGGAGCCAGGAGUUACUGCCUGCUUGAUGGGAUUUGGCAGAGUUCCUGAAAAUGAGUCUGCAAAAGGCCACUCCUGUUUUCUUAAAGCUGCCAACACCCGUUAUCACACCUGUUAGCGUGAAAGCUCAUUUUGGAGGUCCUCGUCUAUACUGGCAUCACCAGAAAAGGUAAAAACCAGGGGGUCUAGAGAUCAGGCAGGAAGCCUGUUAGAUGCAAAUAGGCAGAAACAGGAAGAGAAUUGAGGAUUCCCGGUUCUGAAUUUAGACUCUACCGCCCUUUGAAUGCAAGGGCUCCAGGAAGAAAGGACAUUCUCGUCCCUGUGGUCGUGGGACAGGAUUUAGAAGUUGGGGCUCCUGGCUGACCUAUCAGUACCUAUUUUUUCCCUUUCAGCCCUCUGACAUAGCUUCCUAGGGCCUCAUUCCCCAAGCAUCCUGACCACUCGUGUCAGCUCUAUCUGAGGAAAAGGAGGAGAGACAAUGGGCACUAGGGAAAGAACGGAAUAAAGGAGAGCAAUGUCAUGCUGCUUUAUAGUGCCCACCACCUUCCCAGCAUGUGGCUAAGGGAUGGCAGCUCCACUGCCUUUCUGAGGCCACGACAGGAAGACGGCACACAAAAGCUUGGAGACUGGAAGAACGGGCUGAUUUGUCAUCCAAGGGGCAGAGUGAAGAGGCAGAAGUUUCCCAAGUUCAGAUCCCACGGGCAGAGAAGGGACUGAGGAGACAAAGGUGGACCUGAGCCCGGUGUGAGGGCUGUGGGUUCAUAUCCCAGCGUCUGAGCUCCUGUCCUUGGGAAGUGAGGGGCAUCAUGGGAAGGUGGGCUGGGCGGAGAGGAGGAGCAAACGGCUGGGCGAACAGAGGCCUGCCAUCCUCUCCCACUCGGGUCUGCAUCUGUAAGGCUGAGGUUGGAGGUCCAGGGCUCAGAGAGCCCAGUGCCGCCCCUUGCUGUGGCCGAGGCACAAGGGCAUGUCUGGGUCCAGGCCCGUUCAUGCAGGGCCCAGGUCUUUACCCUCUGUCUCCCAGCACACCAUGGCACGGCUGCUACCCAAGAGCCUGUUUGGGUCCCUCUGCAGUGACUGCUGCAGUCGCUUAGGGUUGUAUCCCCUACUCCAGUCACGUAGUACACUGGCACUGAAGGGCCCUGGGAAGCCGAGGAGACCACGCUCCUUAUUUUACAGAAGAGGCAACUGGAGCUCAGGGAGUUUCCCUUCCCAGGGCCUUGUGGCAGCGGGAGGGAUUGAAAUAGUCUUCCCAGCCCCAGGCCUCUUUCUCCAGACAGGACGCAUUCAGCUCCCGGCAGUGGCUUCUUGGAAAGUGUCAUUCUUCAGCCUCUUGGCUGUCUCCCACAGGGUGAGGAAUCCCUUCUGAGCGAUGGUCUGCUUUGUUCUUGGAGGACCCCAAACCCUGUUCUCUCAAGCUAACCCCUCAGGUGGGAGGUUCCACUUCCGAGCUCUUUACGAAAGAGCUGCCCUGGUAACAGGUGGUGCCAGGCCUCCAGAAGUACAUCUUGUCCCUGUACAUAGACGAGGACCAGGGAACCAUCCUUCUCCUACCCAUUCUUCCGCGUAAAGGGGGCUGGGACUCAUUGGGAGAGUCCCGGGAAGGGCCGGACGUGGGGGCACGUCCCUGGAGAGGCAGCCUCUCCUCAGAACACCCCACCUCCUUAUUUCUGUGCUACGUGUUCAUGAAUCUUCCUCCAACACAGUGGUCACCAAGUCACUCUCCACUCAAGCUUCCAGCGGCCCCCAGUUCCCACAUCCUUUAUGUCCUGUUCCCUCCUCGGGUUUCCAGGCCCUUCUUCACCUGGCUCCAUGACAGCCAACUCUCUUUCCUGUCCUCCAGCUCACAGAUCUGAUGCUGAGCCACGCUGUUAAUGCACCUUCUGUUAGUCUUUGUUUUUAAUCCCCCAUAGGGCCUCCCGACCUGUCCAAAUUCUUCCUUCAAAUGUCACAUCACAUCUUCCUCCUUGCGCUUCCCAAACUCACUCCAUACUGACUGUCCUCUUCGAACAGCAUUUAAAACCCAGAUUUUGUUAAAACACAUUGCUGGGCCUCAGCCCCAGAAUUUCUACCUCAGUUGGCCUGGGGUAGGGCCAGGAAGUAGGCAUUUCUGACAAGUUCCUACCUGAUGCUGACGCUCUGGCACGCCCCCUUUGAGAACCGCUGUCUUAGAACACCUCUCGUGUACUUCGUCCCGUGGGUAGAGAUGGUCUUGGAACCUCAGGAGCUAGCAGCAGCUGCCCCGGGGCUAGAUGUCAAUACAGACUCCCCGAACGUAUGGGGCUGACCACUUUAGGGUUAAAUGUGAAUUUCAUCUGCACUUCACUCUCCUAUAAUUGGCAAAUCGUUACCCAAAACUAAGUGUGGCCUUAAAGGCUCUCGGUGUUUCCUGACUUUCGAGGUUUCCCUCCCGUCUCCCUGAUCUUGCUGUCUGUUUCAGCCUCUGGGACUGCCAGCAUGCCGGCCCUCCUUGCCACAAUCUGGACAUGGGCCCACGCUGGCGGUGGGUCCUGGUGGAUCAGUCACCACGAAGCUGGCUGCACUGCAAGGACCUCUGGGAUCUGGUGGCCCCCGGGAGUGGCUCCGACCGAAACACCUCAGAAGCAUCUCUGCAAAACUGGCUUUUCUCCUUCCCGGUGCUAUGUCUCCUCCAACGUCCUGCCUGCCAGCCUUUUGCAGCUCAGCCCACGCAGCAUGCUGCCCUCCCUGGAAAAUGACCUUGGCAGAGGUCAUAGAGCAGCUCAAAACGAUGCAAUAGGGAAGCACAGGGGCCUGGAGGUCUCCAGGGAGAUUGGCCUUUCUCUGAGUCCUCCUCACUCCUUCCUCAUUUUGGAGAUAGGUGGGGGCAAAAACCAUCCAGUGCUCCAGAGGUGAACUUGACAAUUGGGGCAAUUAGGUAGACCCUGCCCCCUCGCCCCUGUAGGUCAGCAGCAGCCUGGAUGCUUGGAGACGCAGUUUGAGGAGCCAGUUCUUUUUUUAAGAUUUUCUUUAUCUGAGAGAGCAAGAACGGGGGACGGGGAGAGGGGGAAGGGACCCCAAGAUCAUGAUCCGAGCCGAAGGCAGCUGCUUAACCAACUGAACCAUCCAGGCACGCCUGAGGAGCCAGUUCCGUGGAGUCCUGUAUGCCCAAGGUUCACUUGCGCCUGGCGGGCGGGUGUCAGGACCGCCCAAGGGAGAUUGGGCAUGGAUAGUUUUACAGGAAUCUAUUUCUGAGUACUUAGUUCCAUACGUUCUUCCUAAAACUGAUGUGGGGAAAACCCGAAGGGGGGUUCUCCAUCCCCACCCUCCCCUUCAUCACCACCUUCCGCCGCUCUUCCCUGCUCUGGUCUUCCCAUGGUGCAUUGCGCCAGAGUUUAUCGUGUCUGAGAAGCCAAAGAGGCGUCAAAAUAUUCCUGGUUGGGAAACUGAAUGACGAAUGACUGGGCAGGGAAUCCUGCAUAUCAAAUAGUUUCCUGUGUUUUCCUUUAGACAGAAUUGAAGAAGGGCUUAUUAAUCAACUUAUCAGCUGAUAGAUCAUUGGGAAAAAAUUGGUGAUGGCUCAGUACUUGCUUUAUGCCAUAUAACUCUAAAGGAAAUUUUAAAAUUUUGAGUGACCCUGCCAUAACAAAAUUCUGUCCUUGCCCAUUGACAUAUCUUCUCUGAAAAUGAGAAAUAGGGAUAUAAUUGGUGAUGAGCCAGGCCUCAUUCUGGAAAUAACUAAUAUUUAUUCAUGAUACGAACUAAUUUCAAGGAAGUCCUCUAUAUCAUUAGGAGUAGGAUUUUCAAUAAAUAUGUAUUUUUGUUUAUAAGUACCCAAAUUUAUAAUAUAUUUAUGUUGUUUAAUCAAUAGUAUUUAAUACUUGUAAUAAAAGAAACACAUGGACACUUAAAGCCUCAUGGUCUUAGGACAUUUUCCCCCUAUUUAUAUGUAUUUUAAAGGACACUUAUCGAAGCAUGACACAAACAGAAAACUGCUCAAGUAGUAAGCGUCCAGCUCAGUGGUCUCACUAAGUGAACAUCCUUGUAACCAUAACCACCACCCAGAUCAAGAACAAGACCAUUAGGGGCACUCUAGGAGUGGGACGGUUGGGUCAUAGGGCUUAUAUAUGUUCAGCGCCAAAAUGUGUUUCAAAAUAUAGCAACCUGCAUUCCCACUGGCAGUGUGUGAGGGUUUCAGUUACUCCUUGUCCCUGCCAACAUUUGAAACUGGCUGUCUUUUUCAUUUCAGCCAUCGUGGUGAGUAGAAGGAUUGUGAUUUUAAUCUGCAUUUCCUUGAUCAAUUAAGACGAGCACCUUCUCACGUGUCUAAUAUGUGACUAGUGAGUAUUUGAAUAUACGUUUUUGCAAAGUGCCUGUUAAGUCUCUUGCCCGUAUUUCUAUUGGGUUCUUUUUUUCCUACCAAUCUGUUGGAUUCUGAAUUUGAGUCCUUUGUUGGAUGCAUGUCCUGCCGGUACCUUCUGCCACUCCAUGACUUGCUGUUUCACUCACUUGAUGUCCCCUAAUGAAGAAGAGUUCCCCGUUGUAGUGUCUUCCAAUUCAUCAGUAUUUUCCUUUGUCAUUAGUGCUGUUGGAGUCUUGGUGCAGAAAUGACCACCUAUGCCAAGGUCAUGAAGAUAUUUUCCUAUGUUGUCAUUUACAAGUCCUGUUAUUUUACCUUAUACAUUUAGAUCUAAAAUUCAUCUGGAAUUGACUUCUUAAACAAGACGUGGUAUAUGCAGUGGAUAAUUACAUAGCCAAAAAAGGAAUGAAAUAUUGUCACAUGGAUACAUGACGCAAAGGACACCUGCUGCAACAUGUGGAUGGAUGAACCUCAGAAAACAAUAUGCUAAGUAAAAGAAAUCAGGCACCAAAGGUCACGUACUGCAUGGUUCCAUUUAUAUGAAAUAUUCAAUAUAGGUAAAUCCAUAGAGACAGAAAACAGAUUAGCGGUUGCCAGAGGCUGGGGAGGCUGGGAGUCUCCUUUGGGGUAAAGAGAAUGUUUUCAAAGCAGAUGCGAUGGAAGCACAACCUGGUGAAGGUACUAAAUGCUCCUUUAACUGUACAUUGUUUUCCAAGGUCCAUCCACGUUGGAGCAUGUAUCAGUUCCUCAUUCCUUUUUAUGGCUGAAUUAUAUUCCACUGAUAGAUAGACCGUAUUUUGUUUAUUCAUUCUUCCACUGAAGGACGUUUGGCUUUUUUUUGUCUUUUGGCUUUGUGCAUAGCGCUGUAUGAAAAUUCGUGUACGAGUAUUUGUUUGGAUGCCUGUUUUCAAGAUAAUUGAAAUAAUUUUCAAACUAAUUGAAAAUCCAAUUCUUUCCGUAUAUACCUAGGAGUAGAAUUCCUGGGUCAGACAGUAAUUGUAUGUUUACCUUUUUGAGGAAACCUCCAAAUGGUUUUCCACAGCAGCUGUACCCUUUUACAUUCCCACCAGAAAGUACAAGGAUUCCAAUUUCUCCACAUCCUCACCAAACCUUGUUAAUUUCCAUUCGUUUUUAAUUAUAGUCAUACUAGUGGGUGUGAGGUGUUGUGGUUUUUACUUGCAUUUCCCCAAUGACUAAUAAUGUUGAGUAUCUUUUCAUGUGCUUAUUGGCCAUAUGUAUAUAUUCUUUGAACAAAUGUCAAUUUGAGCCCUUUGCCCAUUUUUUAAAUUGGGUGGUUUGUCUUUUUGUAGUCGAAUAGUAAUAGUUCUUUAUAUAUUCUGAAUAAUUGGCCCUUAUUACAUACAUGAUUUGCAAAUAUUUUCUCCCAUUCUGGAGAAAUGCAUCUCUUUCUUGAUGCACAAACGUUUUUACUUUUACUGAAGUCCAAGUUAUUUAUUUUUUCUUUAGUUGACUGUACUUUUGGUGUCAUAUCUAAACAAAUCACUGCCAAAUCCAAAGUCAUGAAGAUUUGACCUUUGUUUUCCUCAGGAUUUUAAAGUUUUAGCUCUUUGAACAUUUAGGUCUUUGGUCCAUUUUGAACUAAUUCUUGUAUAUAUUGUAAGGUAGGGUGUUCAGCUUCAUGCUCUUUCAUGUGACUAUCCAGUUGUCUCAGCAUCAUUUUUUGAAGAGUCUGCUUUUCUUCAUUGAAUGAUCUUGCACCUUUGUCAAAACUCAGUUGACUGUAGAUGUAUAAGCUUAUUUCUGGACUCACAAUUCUAUUCAGUUUCUCUGUAUAUAUCCUUAUGCCAGUACCACACUGUUUCAAUUAUAAUAAAUUUUGAAAUCAGAAAGUAGGAAGCCUCCAACAUUGAUCCUCUUUUUCAAGGCUGUUUUGGCUAUUCGACUUGUCUUGCAAUUUCAUACCAAUUUUAUGGUUGGCUUUUCUGUUUCUGCAUAAAAAGCUAUUGGAAGUUUGAUAGGGAUUGUAUUGAAUUUUGUAAAUUGUUUUGUGCAGUAUUGCCAUUUUAUUUAUUUUUAAAGGUUUACUUAUUUAUUUUAGAGAGUGUGAGUGGGGGUAGGCACAGAGGGAGAG